AGGAUCGGUGCGCCGCGGUCAAGGAGGAAUACGAAACAGGGUCUCAUGAACUUUGAAAAAAAUGGGUGCAGGCAAAGGGUGAGGCGUCGCGGCCCCUUCUCCGCGACGCCUGCCUCUGCCUCUGUGUGUGUGUGUGUGUGUGUUUAGUCUGUCUAUUCGUUUCCCUGUAUCCCCCUGCCCUCUGUCUCUCUCUCUCUCUGCACAACUGGUCGUCACCCCUGCACUAUAAGAAGCCUGCUCCAACGUCCAGUCUCCUCCAGAUCGUCGUGCCAUUGCGGAUUACCAGCCAGCCAGACCAGAUUCACCAGCAGAUUCAUCACUCCCUCUGGACACCGUCAGCCAAGCUACCACCCGCACCGUUCCCUAUCGUAGCCCCAAACUCCAGCCAGUCGCCGUCUCCUCACCCUGCCAACUAACAAUAAAGACUGAUUUGUGUCAUCUCCCCUUGCCUGCCGUGUCUGCAAUUGGGUUCGGCCUAGAUCUGUGACAUGAGGUUGAACUGGGAUUCACAUGGUUAAUCCUCCUCUGUUGGUCCUUGGUCCACCGUGACACCCUGCAGACGACCCCUGCACUCUUUCACUCAACGCUCGCUUUCUAGAAACAGGUUUUUUUUUGUUUGUUUGGACGGGACAGCUGGACACGCACUGCGGUGUGAGCAGAUAGGAUGUAGAUUGUAAUUUGAGGCUUGAAGAAGCAGCCGAGGAUCUGCUCUUUCUUUGCUUAGGGUUAGGUUAUGAUUCAGGGACAGUGAGUCAGGGCCAGAUACCAACAGCCAGAUACCAAUUGCAGGAACAAGUGAUAGGUAACAUCGUUACUGCGCUUCCAUAAGAAUACUCACUCAAUACUCAGGCACACCAUUGUUUACUAAAAAACAUUUGCUCCAGCAGGUGAAAAACUAAACCCAGUCAAAUGCAUGUUUUUUUUUAACUCAGUGCACCGCAAAAGGGUGCACUGGCAUAAAACAUGGUAGGAAAUGGUACUGUUUGGUAAAAUUCUGCUAUGUGCUGUGGAGGAUAUCAGUGAAAGCCAGACUUGCUUUGUGGCUCAGCUCUGAGUUGCCCUCCAGUUUCUUGAGGAGGGCCUGUCUGAUUGGCUCUCUGGAGUUUGCCCACAGCCUCUCAGGAGCCGCGUUCCUGGACAUCACCUGGCGGUUCACAUCCUUAGUGGGCUGCCUGCGGGUACAGGAGAACAUCACACAGAUCCCUGCAGUCAGUAUUGUAAAGUGAGCACUUUCUCUUGCCAUCGUGCGGGAGAGGUUGUGAGUAUUUUCCAGAUACCUGAAGUGCUCGAGGGAAAAUUCCUUCAGUGUGGCGGGAGCCAACCUCUCCAAUGUGCCUGUUUCCUUCUUGUUCGCCUGUAUGAUGUUCUUUCGCUGGUUGGGAGACAGGCUUAGAAGGCUCUGAAAUAAAGAAAACGUAGCCACCGUAUUUCAUAAGGGUUAGGGUUAAGGUUAGGGUCGGGGCACGAUAAUUAUCUGACAAAGAUAUGUCAUUGACGCGUCCGUACCAUGAGCUCAUUGGUGGGUUUGUUGAGCGUUGGCAGGAUUAAGACGGCGUCGGUGGGGACAGCUCCUGUUUGUUUUGUGCUCUCAAUCUGGCCCUUAAUCCAGCCACGUUGCUGAGAAAACUCGUCAUCUUUGAUAAUUACGAUGAGCUCUCCUUUCUUGAAGCUGAGGAACGUGGGGUCAUCUAUAGAGGAAUAUAACGAAAAUCAGCCAGUUAGCAAAUCAAUAAGAGCCACGGCGUACCGCGAUCGCUCCGCCAGUCCACCGAGGAACAUGGUGACCAGCUCGGCCAUGUCCCCAGCUGCAGAGCCGCUCAGAGUGAAGUCUCCUUUCAGCGUCAGCAGACACACCACCUGACCAGAGGCUUUACCCUCCCUGUGUGGCCAUCACAGCAGAGUCAGAAAACACAGGAUGAAAGCAUGUCCGGUAUCAUAACAGUGCACUAAGGUCUGGGCACCACUGAGCAAAUGACAUAUUUCUUUGACUGUCGAGGUGAAAAGAACGAAACACAAACUCUGCAGCAAAAACCUUUCAUCAAAUGUUAACGGACUGUAAGGCAGGGCAACAGUCAAGAAUUGUCAUUGAGAACUGUCAUCUGAUGACAUUUCAAGUUUGAUAAAUUGUGAGUUGGAUCAAUUCUGUCUAUGACGGUUGCCAGAGCGGAAUCUGGAGAAAAGAGAAAACUUAAUUUCCACUGUGAAAAGCUUUCAGUUCUGUUCUUUCCUCUUCUUUCAAUGUUAUUUGUAUUUAACUCUUUUCAUUGCAAAAAUCAACAAAUUAUGUAAUUUGCUUUUGCUUAAAAAAAGGCUUUCUUCUCAGA
This is a long non-coding RNA of Scophthalmus maximus (turbot), 2324 nucleotides long. RefSeq lists it as uncharacterized. Lineage: Eukaryota; Metazoa; Chordata; Actinopteri; Pleuronectiformes; Scophthalmidae. The transcript is spliced from 3 exons. The record is from RefSeq and is a predicted model, not a curated record.